UCAGAGGCUCUGUCAGUGGAAAACGCUGUGUCAUUAUCAUUGUUGUGUGGGUGGUCACUCCUGACAACACAGACUCCACAGGAACAACAGACCUGCUCUGCAAGACGAACGUGUGGGGAGAAAAACUGAAAGUGGAGCGAUGUUGUGACUAAUACUUGGUCCACUGUGUAGAGUGGCCAGGUGGAUUUCAUCAUGCUGUGUCUCCUCAAACACGAGCAGCCCAGCAGCCGGAUGUCUGUCACAGUGUAAAGGGCAGAACGUGUGGACAGUUUCCAGUGAUGAGAAACCACCACCAGUUUAAAAUCCCAGCAGAGUGGACUGAGGAUAUGCCUUCUUUUCUAAGCCCAGUCAUCCAUCAGUGAAGUUUGUAAUCUAUGUGUGUCCGUGUUGCUGCGCAGUUGUUCUAAUGAUGAUUUGUCUGUAAACUCCCUGUUGGGAAGCCGGAUAAACUCUGAGAGCUGACAAGUGCAGCAGCAGCAGCGACGACAUAGACACAUGUUUACUAACUAUACCUAUAAUGUGAUAUAAUAAUCCAAUGAAUUAAACAAAUGGCUUCUGAGUUCA
Long non-coding RNA from Pleuronectes platessa (European plaice), 564 nucleotides. RefSeq lists it as uncharacterized. The transcript is spliced from 3 exons. The record is from RefSeq and is a predicted model, not a curated record. NCBI's taxonomy places the organism in Eukaryota, Metazoa, Chordata, Actinopteri, Pleuronectiformes, Pleuronectidae.